RNAcentral lists this ribosomal RNA (499 nucleotides) under uncultured bacterium. RNAcentral's name for it is "bacterial SSU rRNA". It matches the Rfam family "Bacterial small subunit ribosomal RNA", at positions 8 to 523 of the family's 1533-position model. The record is from RNAcentral.
AGAGUUUGAUCCUGGCUCAGAUUGAACGCUGGCGGCAGUCCUAACACAUGCAAGUCGAGCGGUAGCACAGAGAGCUUGCUCUCGGGUGACGAGCGGCGGACGGGUGAGUAAUGUCUGGGAAACUGCCUGAUGGAGGGGGAUAACUACCGGAAACGGUAGCUAAUACCGCAUAACGUCGCAAGACCAAAGUGGGGGACCUUCGGGCCUCAUGCCAUCAGAUGUGCCCAGAUGGGAUUAGCUAGUAGGUGGGGUAAUGGCUCACCUAGGCGACGAUCCCUAGCUGGUCUGAGAGGAUGACCAGCCACACUGGAACUGAGACACGGUCCAGACUCCUACGGGAGGCAGCAGUGGGGAAUAUUGCACAAUGGGGGAAACCCUGAUGCAGCAACGCCGCGUGAGUGAAGAAGGUCUUCGGAUCGUAAAGCUCUGUCUUUGGGGACGAUAAUGACGGUACCCAAGGAGGAAGCCACGGCUAACUACGUGCCAGCAGCCGCGGUAA